Molecule: long non-coding RNA, 1789 nt
Organism: Peromyscus maniculatus bairdii (prairie deer mouse)
Lineage: Eukaryota; Metazoa; Chordata; Mammalia; Rodentia; Cricetidae
Source: RefSeq, a predicted model, not a curated record
UCUGCAAUAAGCCAAGGGUCAGGCACAGGGGUUCAGGGUAAGCCAGCAAGAGAACAGCUGGGUGGCCCAGAGAACACAGGUGUCCUCAGCAAGGAUACUCAAACAGUAUUCAGAGAUGCAGGAGACAGCCAGCGCUUCCACUGAACUUGACUCAUCUCCAUGCCUUCUACCCAAAUGCAGAAGGAUAGCAUAUGAGCCAUGCUGGGUGACAAGCAUUAUCUGCUUUAUCAAGUUCUGUCAAUGUGAGAGUCAGAACUGAGUUAGACUGGGAUGGGAAGUACCCUGGAACUUGGUUAAGCCCAGCAUCUAGUGCUCUGGUGAAUAUGGUCUGAUAUCUGGCACAUAACUUUGAUAUGUAACUUGCAUCAUUGAGAACAGAAGAGAUGUGAGCAAAGUGCCAAAGGACAGUGCUGAGGAUUUAAUGUAGACAGGGAAGCAGGAGGGUGGGAUUUGAGUAAGCAAAGUGCUAGAACAUUUCAGAAGGGAAUGACAACCGUAUGACUAAAGGUGGAUGCAGCUCUUCAAAGCUCCGUUGACCACCCCACCCAUCAGGCACCCAGUCCUUUUUCCUCUGCCAGAAAAUUAAUGACCAUCACAUGGUUAUGGCACACAGAUGCAAACAGAAACUCCAAGUAUGCUGUAUGAUAGGGAAGGGUUGUGCAGGAAGAAAGCUAUAUUUAGCACUUUUAUGGAAAUCGUACUGAACAGAGGCAGGGAUUACUGCAAUGGGAAGCAGUUACCAGAAUACCCACAAACAGGAAAGAAUUGUUUUAAAGAUACAAUGUUUUUAGUAGAAAUACUGUGAAUUCUUUGCCAGAAUAAUUGUAAAAUAACUACAAUCCCAUAUAUGUUAGUAACUAAAAUAAGGAUCUUUCACAUAUCUGGUUUAUAGCCCAUAAAGCACUUUAGAAUAAUUGUAUUCUAUGUGCUAUGGAAAAAAAUGAGUCCUACUCAAGACUCGAACGUAGAGCCUUAUAAAUGUUUUCUAAAAACAGGCUGGCUUUAACAAACAUGAGCAUGGAUAAAAACCAGCAUGGCUGAGCCUUUCUCUAUGAAGAAUGAGAAGUACUCGAGGGACACAAAGAGGGAAAGAUUCGUCACAAGAGAAUGGCGGUACAGAGCCCACAGAAAUCUCUCACAGGAUACAACAAGAACAGAUUUGUAAAGGAAUCCUGAAAGAUGAAGAAAACUAGCAUUUCAUGUGGAAAUGUGAAGAGCUGUGCACUCUUACGUAUAAGUUAUGCUGAAGCUAGGCCUUUAUUUUCUUUUCAUAACAAAAUCAUGUUAAGAAAUUUGUGUAGUAAAGCAUCGUGAGAUAAUGAACACCAAACCGUGCAGGCAUCAAUAAAAUUGAUGACAAUACAGGAGAUGGCAUGCUUUUUUUUUUUCUAUUUCAGACUGUAUAUGGGUGGUGGGCAAGAGGGACUAUGGCAACUACGAGUGGUCAGGAGAGUUUGUCACCAUCUCCAGUAUACCAUAGUUCUGACUAAGUGAGAAGCAGCUCAGCUUGCUAGGUUGUUGCUUUGUCAUGGAAGGAAUGUGGGAGUAGGUAGUGAGUAGGCGUGGGUGCCCAGGGCCUUAUAAAUGGGUGUUCUCUUUGCAGGCUUUCCACCUGAUUCUUAGAUUCCUCUGUCUAGGCUGAGUAAAACUAGAAAAUAAUGUUGGUAUAUGUAUAUAAAACUACCUCUCAGUUCUCUGCUUCCCUCCCAUGAAAAACAAUAAGGAAACUGGAGGAAAAAGCUGGCUUGGCUUUCUGCCCGAUUUUCAUUAAACUCACUACUCAAUGUCA